Molecule: unclassified non-coding RNA, 156 nt
Filed under: uncultured Nodulisporium
Lineage: Eukaryota; Fungi; Ascomycota; Sordariomycetes; Xylariales; Xylariaceae
Description: sequence contains ITS2
Source: RNAcentral
CAACCCCUCAAGCCCUGUGCUUGGUGUUGGGGCCCCUACGUGCGCCGUAGGCCCCGAAUUCCAGUGGCGGGCUCGCCGCGAACCCGAGCGUAGUAGCUUUUGCCUCGCUCAGGGCCCGCGGCGGGCGCCUGCCGUGAAAGAACCCACUAUUCUAAA